RNAcentral lists this long non-coding RNA (398 nucleotides) under Trifolium pratense (red clover). RNAcentral's name for it is "long non-coding RNA (TPRA_LNC007843)". The record is from RNAcentral. Lineage: Eukaryota; Viridiplantae; Streptophyta; Magnoliopsida; Fabales; Fabaceae.
GUUGUCCACGAUGUGCAGACACUUGUCGUAACACUUGUCUUAGCAGUAAGAACAAUAAAACAGAGCAUUAAAAACAUAUACUGAAAAGCAUAAACGACACACAUAAUUGUUAACCCAGUUCAGCCUAACAGCCUAAUCUGGGGGAUACCAAUCCAGGAGGAAAUUCACUAUCAGCAGUAUUAAUUCAGAGCUAAACUCACCCGUUUACAACUCCUCACUUAAUCCCUACCCAAUGACACUUCUACCUAGGAACUCCUAGAUAUGACACCCCGUCUCACUCCCCUCAACCUUACAACCAGUAAGGAUUUCAAUAACAACAUAAUGGAGACACUCUCCUUGACAAAGAUGAAGACACACUUCAAUGACAUUAACACCUAGCCAACGACUAAGUUCACAAU